Molecule: transfer RNA, 78 nt
Filed under: Felis catus (domestic cat)
Lineage: Eukaryota; Metazoa; Chordata; Mammalia; Carnivora; Felidae
Also listed under: 3 other names
Source: Rfam by way of RNAcentral
GCCUGGGUGGCUCAGUCCGUUGAGCAUCAGACUCUUGAUCUGAUGAGUCUGAUCUGAUGAGUCUGAUCGGCUCAGGUC